AAAGAAGAGAAAGAUAAGGAAGGAGAAGAAGGAGGAGAUCAAGAGGAAGGCUUUGAGCACCUCCAUCUCCCUCUCCUCUUCCCAUUGGUGUAGCUCUUGAGGUAAGCUACUAAACCCUAGCUUCUAGAACUUAGGGUUUUGGAUUUUUAUGCUUUGGAACGGGUCAAAUAGACCCUAGGCAAGCUUCUAAGUAGAUCAAUCCCAUGAUUCUAGGGUUUUAUUGGUGGGUUGCUAUAUGUGCAACCUAGGGCUCCAAAUGGGGGCAUUUUAUAAAGUAUGAGAUUGAUCUCAUUUGAGGCCUUGUAAACCUAAUCGAUAGAUGCCCAAACGCGGGGGCGAAGUCGAUUUCGCGAUUUAUCGAGCGGGCUUAGAGCAAUCGGCGAAUUACGGUCGUUUCGUCGUUAUCUUGGACCAAGGGAGGCUAAAGCCUCAUCGUAGUGCUCGCCGAGGAGCGUUUCCUAAGCCUCUACAUCGAUUAAAGGUGGGGGGUGCUAUCCCGAAGCUUUCGAACUCCUUUCUAUGUCUUAGAUUGCAUUUAAUCUCAUCUCUUCAUGUUGCAUUGUAGGAUUGCAUGAUAGUACCUUUCCUUAUGCUUUCUAAUUGAUAACCUAGUGUACUCGAAACGCUUGGUAACUUAGAUAGGUGAGGAUUGGGUCGGAACGUGGAUCCUAUGAUGCGAAAAAAAAGAGGUGAACCCGCUGGGGGUAUUGAUGACAUAGAAAGUAGUGUUUAGUGUUAAGGAACACACGAGUGGCAUUAAUGUAGUGUAUAUAACACUAGAGGUCGAUGGACCUAGGGAUAGGUGGAUCCCUUAGAAAAUGCCUUGUGAACAAUGAAUUUAGAGAGCUAAAUAGCAUUGGAUGAAUGUCGGGAACAAAUGAUUCCGCAAGAUAUGUUGACCCUAGAGUAGGGCAUCCUCACUUGGAGAGGAUUUGAUUGGGUUGUGGACCCUAGUUAUAGUGCUUCCUCACUUGGAGAGGAUUUGAUUGGGUGUUGACCCUAGUUACAGUGUAUCCUCACUUGGAGAGGAUAGAUCUAGCUCACAGUUUGCGUUUUGGGUGGUAUAGCCAUCCAAUCCCCACAUGGCAGGGAUUGUCGUCGAGUACUCCGGAGUGUCGCGCGACUAGGACCACUUGGAGGUCCAGACCACAUGGAGGUCCACAGACGGUCCCGGGCUUGGGUGCACUUGGAGCUCCCUCCCUACUUUGGGAUUGAAAGGUGAGUUAUAGGCGAGCCCUAGGGCCUCGCCACAGAUUGGGUAAAUGGAAGGUUAAAGGUUUAAAAUGUCAUUGAACAUCGCUAUUCGAACAUGGAUCGAAAUUGCUAGCAUGGUAGCCAACCUUCAUUAUAUGAUGCAUGCAUUCAUAUUCAUGAUUAUGGGCAUAGUAGCAUAGUUCUUCCUACUAUCGCAUUUACAGCUUUCAGAUACAUAUCUAUAUAUCUAUCUAUCUAUCUGUUGUUACUUGUGCCCACUUGGACCUAGUGGGGAGAUCGGCAGAGUCGGCGGCCGAGCCCACUGCGAACUAUGGAAGAUAGUUCUCACCCCACUCUAUUUCCAGUGGUAGGUACAGGGUUGCCGAGAGAGGACCGCGGCAAGGGCAUCGCGCCCGAUCAGUGAGACCGUGGUAGUAUAGUAGUUUUUCUUUUUGCAUUAGUACACCUAUGUAUUCGAGAGAAAUUCAUUGUAGGUGAGGAUUUGGAGAGCUAUGUAUUUUGGAUGAAAAGUGUAUUCAUUUAAAGAAAAUGAUGUAAAGGAAAAGAUGCAAAACUAUUGUAAUAGUUAGUAAAGUACUCUCUUUAUUUCACAAUGCUUUAUCUUGGGGAUUACUUGCUCCUUGUAUGGUUGGCACUGUUUGUGCCCCGUUGAAUGUGUAUGUUUAGAAUUUAAUUUCCUGGGUAAAUUCUUGUACGCAUUCUUGUUGCUGAGCCUUGGGCGGAUAGGGGAGGUGCUGUCCGUUCGGCGGUCCGCCGCCGCGGCCGAAUCGUGCCAAAUUGGUAGUGGUUUCGGGGCGGGGCGUGACAGUCUUAUUUGGUAUCAGAGCAAGGAGCAAGUAAAGAGAGAAAGUCUAGGAUGACCUAGGAGACCCCAGGUUGGUGAGCCCUAAGGUUAUAGGUGCGUGAGCGGAACGUGAACCUAUAGCGAUGGCGGAAGUUGAUUCGAUUGGGUCGAAGUUGGUAAUAUGUCUCUAGUUGCGAUUAAGAGACGGAUUGAAGUGGUACGAGUUCUUGUCUUGAGGUUGUUGUGUCAGCGGCCGACGACAUGAUACCGAGAGUCUAGAACGAGUACACUUGUGUGCUUCCGCCCGAUUUUGUCGUUGAGUCGACAAGUGUCGUAAUUUCGACAAGGUAAUUGGUUAAGGUGACUGACCAGGUAUUUGCGUUGCAGGGACUAAUGUCUCCAAGACGCUACACGCGUAGGACUGCCCCAGCACCGACCCCUGAGGUGCCCGAGCAGGGAGAACCGAGCGUGAUUGAUCAGUUGCAAGCGCAAGUAACCGCGCUGACCGAUGUGGUGCAGCGCCAGGAGACCCGAUUCGAGCGGCUCCAGGAGCUUUUGAAGCGGCAAGCGGCGGCAGCGGCCGCGACGGUGACGGACGGAUGCGAUGUGCCCGCGCCCUCGGCUCGCGUACCUGAGCCGACUGAGGGUGAGGGUAUAGCGGCGGUCCCGGUGGCGGCGCGUCCCCCGCCGGCGAUCGUGCCAUCGGCGGCGUCGGGAUCGGCUACACCUGAUGCGACGGCCGAAGACGUGGAAGGAGAGCGCGCAUUGGCGGCUCUUAUCAAGUUCAACAAGUUCCAUCCGCCAACCUUUGAGGGCGAGAAGGUGGAACCGGCGAUGGUCGAGUCUUGGAUCGACUCGAUGGAAACCCUCUUCGAAGACUUACGUACCUUGGAGAGAGAUAAGGUGUACCUCGCCACUCAUUGUUUGGAGAAGGCGGCGAAGGUCUGGUGGAAGCGCGUCAAGCGGGAUCGGCUUCCCGGCCUUCUGCCGAUGCUGUGGGAGGAAUUCAAGCGGGAGAUGUUCGCCAACUACUUCCCCAAUACAUUGAAGAGGAAGCUCAAGGAGAAGUUCCGCAAGCUAGAGCAAGGGGACCGCUCCGUGGCGGAGUACGAACAGGAAUUCUCCCACAUCAUAGAUUGUGUCCCGGAUGUUGUCAAGGAUGACCGGGACCGGGCCGAGUGGUUCUUGCGAGGACUUCAGCCGGGGAUCUACAAGGCCGUGCAAAUACUUAAGCUCACGACCUUUGUGGAGGUCUUUGAUCGAGCCCUAUGGGCAGAGCACGGGGAUGCCCACAUGCGGGAGAAGCGUGAGCUUUUGGCGGAGUCCAAGGACAAGGGCAAGAAACGCCAAGGCGGCGGUAGUUCGGGUGGUCAGACACGUUACAAGAAACCCCCUAAGUAUCCGCCCACUCAACAGAAGAACGGUGGAGCGCGGCGAUGCAUUGUAUGCUGCGGGGACCACCCAGUCUCGCGCUGUGAACAAGGCCAGGGCAAGUGCUACAAGUGUGGGCAACCGGGCCACUUCAUUCGGGAUUGCCCUGGAGGAGGAGCCUCACCUGCCCCAUCAUUUGCAUCAGCGCCGGCGAUUCCAGCUCACUAUGGAGGAGCUCCAUCGACGGCUGCGUCGACAGGACGUGCGAUGACGCCGCGUCAACCUGAAAUGGCGAGAUCGGCCCCGAGCGGUCUGGUGUUCGCUGCUCAGGUGCAAGCUGAGGAGCCUACGGAGGCGGAGGAGCAUCGCCUUGUGGCAGGUAUGAUUUUAAUUAACGGAGUUCGCUCCAGGGCUUUAUUUGAUACAGGAGCCACACAUUCAUUCAUAAGUAGAUCAUUCGCACGCAUGCAUGACAUCCUCAUGGAAGCGAGUGACAAGUGGCGAGUGGAGGGCCCUGGGUCGACGUUCAAUACCUACACGGAGUGCGCCUCGUGUCCGGUACAAAUAGGCGACUGGAUAAUGCCUAUUCGGACGCUAGGACUUCAGAAAUUAGAGGCGUACGACAUUAUAUUGGGCAUGGACUGGCUCUCAAAAUAUCAUGCGACGAUCGACUACAAGAGCAGGGUGAUCACAUUCCGUGAGCCAGGACAAGAAGAAUUCACCUAUCGGGCUUGCCAGAGCUCGUGCUUCGUCGCGACGGUGUCGGCGACGAGAGCAAGAAAGUUGGUGAACAGCGGUUGCUCAGCGUUUCUAGCAACUGUUAUGGAAAUGGAGCAAGCGGCUCCAACAUUGGAGGAAAUAUCGGUGGUGCGGGAGUUCUCGUAUGUAUUCCCCGCAGAGUUGCUGGGGAUACUACCGGAUCGAGAGAUCGAGUUCGUCAUAGACUUGGUUUCCGGUACUGCACCGAUCUCGAAGGCUCCGUACCGAAUGGCGCCGGCGGAACUAAAGGAGUUGAGGAGUCAACUACAAGAUCUCCUCGACAAAUAGUUUAUCCGGCCGAGUGUAUCACCGUGGGGAGCCCCGGUGUUAUUCGUGAGGAAGAAAGAUGGAUCGUUUAGACUCUGCGUGGAUUAUCGAGAGUUGAACAGAGUCACGAUCAUUAAUAAGUACCCACUUCCCCGAAUCGAUGACCUAUUCGAUCAGCUGCAAGGGUCGUGUGUGUACUCGAAGAUAGACUUGGAAUCCGGCUACCACCAGUUGAAGAUCAAGUUGGAGGAUGUGCAAAAGACCGCGUUUCGUACGCGGUAUGGACACUACGAAUUCACGGUCAUGCCAUUUGGACUCACGAAUACUCCAGCGGCGUUCAUGGAUUUGAUGAACCGUGUCUUCAAAGAGUAUUUGGACCGAUUUGUCGUGGUCUUUAUAGACGACAUAUUGGUCUAUUCUCGUAGCGACGAGGAACAUGCCGAGCAUUUGAGAAUAGUGCUUCGUGAAGUCGCCUUCUUAGGGCAUGUAAUUUCUGGCUUCGUGAAGUCGCCUUCUUAGGGCAUGUAAUUUCUGCGGGUGGAGUUUCUGUAGACCUGAGAAAAGUUGAGGCAAUCAAGGAUUGGCCGCGCCCGACGAAUGUCACGGAGGUUCGAAGCUUCGUGGGCUUAGCGGGCUAUUAUAGGCGGUUUGUGGAAGGCUUUUCCAAGAUAGUGAUUCCACUUACCCGCCUGACCCAGAAAGGCACCAAGUUUGUUUGGAGCGAGGAGUACGACCGGAGUUUCAAAGAGUUGAAGCAGAGAUUGACUUCGACUCCGGUGCUCGCUCUACCGGUGCAAGGCGAAGACUUCGUAGUCUACAACGAUGCUUCCUAUCUUGGGUUGGGGUGUGUAUUGAUGCAAAACGGGAAAGUGAUUGCUUACGCAUCCCGUCAGCUAAAGAGUUAUGAGAAGAACUAUCCCAUCCAUAAUUUGGAGCUAGUGGCGGUGAUUUUCGCCUUGAAGCUGUGGAGGCACUCCUUAUAUGGUGCCCACUGUGAGAUCUAUACCGACCACAAGAGCAUGAAGUACUUGUUUACACAGAAGGAGCUCAACAUGCGUCAGCGGCGGUGAUUAGAAUUGUUAAAGGAUUACGACGUUGAUAUCCUCUACCACCCCGGGAAGGCAAAUGUGGUCACGAACGCACUUAGUAGGAAGUCGGCGAAGAAUCUCGCUUUGAUGUUACCCAACAAACGCCCUUAUGGCUGGAUAUGGAGCGACUGGAUUUCGAAGUGGUUCCUCCCGAGAUUCCGGCCCAGUUGAUGUCACUCGUUGUCCAACCGACCUUGUUGGAGAGAAUUAAAGAGUUGCAACCUGCAGACCCCUCCAAAAGGUACGGCGAAACAUCGAGGGAGGCCAUGGCGGAGAGUUCAAUGUAGACGCCGAUGGUACGCUUCGAUUUCGGAAUCGGAGGUGUAUACCCAAAGAUGGAGAGCUUCGCGAAUUGAUCCUACAAGAAGCACACCGAUCUCCAUAUGCGGAUCACCCGGGGGGCACCAAGUGUAUCAGGGAUUAAAAAUGCACUACUGGUGGCCGAAAAUGAAAGGCGAUAUCGGACGCUUUGUGGCGAAGUGCCUAACAUGCCAACAGGUAAAGGCCGAGCGUCGAUUCCCAUCGGGAAAGCUUCAAAGCCUACCAAUCCCCGUUUGGAAAUGGGAGGAUAUAUCGAUGGACUUCGUGGUCGGCCUGCCUCGCUCAACGGGCGGCCACGAUGCGAUUUGGGUGAUUGUGGACCGAUUAACGAAGUCGGCUCACUUCUUGUCGAUCCACACCACGUGGUUGGGUGACAAGUUAGCGCAGGUAUAUCUUGACGAGGUGGUUAGACUGCACGGAGUAUCGAAAUCGAUCGUGUCGGAUCGUGACCCUCGAUUCACCUCAUAUUUUUGGAAGAGCCUGCAAGAAGCCCUUGGCACACAGCUCGACUUUAGCACAGCGUUUCAUCCCCAAACCGAUGGGCAAACGGAGAGAACCAUUCAAACUCUGGAGGAUAUGUUGCGGGCGUGUGUCAUCGACUAUAAGGGAAGUUGGUGUGACCACCUACCCAUAGACGAGUUCGCCUACAAUAACAGUUAUCAUGCUAGUGUGGAGAUGGCACCGUUCGAGGCUCUCUAUGGGCGGACGUGUCGGUUUCCCAUACACUGGAGCAAUGUGGGCGAACGGGCAGAGUUCGGCCCUGAUGUGUUGCGAGAAGCGGAGGAAAAGGUUCGCCUUGCUCGCAAGAGAUUGCUCACGGCGCAGUCGAGGCAGCAAAGCUAUGCAGAUAGGCGCCGUCGAGAUAUAGAGUUCGCGGUGGGUGACUGUGUAUUCUUGAAGGUUUCACCAAUGCGGGGUGUGAAGCGGUUUGGAGUGCGGGAAAAGCUGAGUCCCCGGUACAUCGGGCCAUAUGAAAUAUUGGAGCGAGUCGGCACGGUGGCUUAUCGACUUGCUUUGCCGCCGAAGCUCGCGGAUGUACACAAUGUGUUCCACGUCUCCAAUCUCCGCAAGUAUAUUCACGACCCCGAGCAUGCAAUGCUAUAUGAGCCACCAGAACUCUAAGAAGAUUUGACCUAUGAAGAGUUUUCGGUGGGGGUAAUCGCCCGAGAGGUGCGAAAGCUGAGGAAUCGAGAAAUCCUCUAUGUGAAAAUUCGGUGGAGCAAUCAUGAUGAUCGCGAGGCCACCUGGAAACUCGAGGAGCUGAUGAGAAAACACCAUCCUUAUCUAUUUGAGGAGUGAGGUAUGAGUUUAAAUUAAAGUUAGAGAAUUGUUCGUUUCGAGGACGAAACUCCUUUUAAGGAGGGGAGGAUGUAAGGAAGUAAAUUCUCGAAAUUCGAGGAUUGUACUUCAACCGGGGUCGACUGACUGUCGAGAGAAUACCCUUUGUGGAAGUUUAGAAUGCCCAAAACACAAAAAGUGCUUGGGAGUUGAGUCCGCGAGAGCAAAUCGGUAAAUCUGGACUCAGCAGAUUUUUGCUCUCGGGGAUUGGUCCCUGGAGGGAAGGACCGGUCCCCGUAGCUGGGGGUCGCGGGGCAAGGUCGAUGCAAUCGGUCCCUGGCUGAGGGGACCGGUCCCCGUGCGCGACACCCGCGAGAGGAAGCCUAAAUUUGGCUAAGUCCUGAAGGUUCCCUUUUCGGGAACCGGUCUCCCAGGAGAGACCGGUCUCCCGAGGACCGGUCUCCCGGGGAGAGACCGGAUCCCGAACGCGAAAAAUCCCCAGACUGCAGGGAGAGCUCUCGGGGACCGGUCCCUUGUCGGGGAGACCGGUCCCUCUGGGCGAAAACUGCCCAGUGAGGGCUGUGCAAUGGAUGAAAAGCUGAGGGGUCUAAGUGCAAAAUGGCCUUUAUUAGAGUAGGCUGAGCCCUCUCUCUCUCCCUCACACUCUUAUUUCACUCUCUCUCACUCUCUUUCUCUCUUACUCCCUCUCUCUCUCUAGAAAGGAAAGAAGGAGAAGAAGAACAAGGAGGAGAGGAAGGAAAAGAAGAGGAAGAUAAGGAAGGAGAAGAAGGAGGAGAUCAAGAGGAAGGCUUUGAGCACCUCCAUCUCCCUCUCCUCUUCCCAUUGGUGUAGCUCUUGAGGUAAGCUACUAAACCCUAACUUCUAGAACUUAGGGUUUUGGGUUUUUAUGCUUUGGAAUGGGUCAAAUGGACCCUAGGCAAGCUUCUAAGUAGAUCAAUCCCAUGAUUCUAGGGUUUUAUUGGUGGGUUGCUAUAUGUGCAACCUAGGGCUCCAAAUGGGGGCAUUUUAUAAAGUAUGAGAUUGAUCUCAUUUGAGGCCUUGUAAACCUAAUCGAUAGGUGCCCAAACGCGGGGGCGAAGUCGAUUUCGCGAUUUAUCGAGCGGGCUUAGAGCAAUCGGCGAAUUACGGUCGUUUCGGCGUUAUCUUGGACCAAGGGAGGCUAAAGCCUCAUCGUAGUGCUCGCCGAGGAGCGUUUCCUAAGCCUCUACAUCGAUUAAAGGUGGGGGGUGUUAUCCCGAAGCUUUCGAACUCCUUUCUAUGUCUUAGAUUGCAUUUAAUCUCAUCUCUUCAUGUUGCAUUGUAGGAUUGCAUAGUAGCUCCUUUCCUUAUGCUCUCUAAUUGAUAACCUAGUGUACUCGGAACGCUUGGUAACUUAGAUAGGUGAGGAUUGGGUCGGAACGUGAAUCCUAUGAUGCGAAAGAAAAGAGGUGAACCCGAUGGAGG
RNAcentral lists this long non-coding RNA (8547 nucleotides) under Ananas comosus (pineapple). RNAcentral describes it as "long non-coding RNA (ACOM_LNC026298)". Lineage: Eukaryota; Viridiplantae; Streptophyta; Magnoliopsida; Poales; Bromeliaceae. The record is from RNAcentral.